CACAUGACCGGUGACCGAGUAAACAGGAAGCCAUAAAAAGUUUGCCGUCAGUUCAAGAAAGUCUCUCUUGGCUGCUUGUCACUGGUCUUCUCCCUCUCACAAAGGGCGAGUGCAAGACGAGAGUUUACCAUUGACGGAGGAAAACUCUCCCGACAGGCACAAGACCGGAGCUUAAUGUACACAACCGGCCCAGCUACCCGGGAUAUUAAGUGACCAUUUCCCCGGCAGGAUUAAGCCGAGUUGGAAACCUACUCUGUGGAAGUUGCGCUCCUCUGCGGCGUAGGCCUGGGCCCGGGUGGAACGCUGCCUGCCUUCAGUGUAGGGACUGCACGGUGUGACACUUUAUUUUCUGUAUGCUAAAUAACUCACUGUUAUUAUUUUAUAGAGAUUGUGGUUUAAAUAUUGCAUGCUUAUGUUGUUUUGGUGUGUGGCUUUUCUUGUUUUUGUCCCUCACGAUUAGCAGGCACUGCAACCCAGCGGACCGGGCCUGCCCAACUGAGGAGGGUAACUUAUAUAUGUAUUGAAUUGUAUUUGCCAUUUUUAUACUGGACAUGAAUCGACAUUUUAAACUGUUUCCAAACACUUAUUAAAUAAAGCUGUGUUAUGUUUUUGGAA
Gymnodraco acuticeps is the source of this 615-nucleotide long non-coding RNA. RefSeq lists it as uncharacterized. Lineage: Eukaryota; Metazoa; Chordata; Actinopteri; Perciformes; Bathydraconidae. The record is from RefSeq and is a predicted model, not a curated record. The transcript has 4 exons.